Molecule: unclassified non-coding RNA, 241 nt
Filed under: plant metagenome
Description: partial contains small subunit ribosomal RNA, internal transcribed spacer 1, and 5.8S ribosomal RNA
Source: RNAcentral
UUUCCGUAGGUGAACCUGCGGAAGGAUCAUUAUUGGCUGAAACACUUCUGGCUUUAUGCUGUUGUGAUGGCCCUUUGGGCAAUGUGCACACGGCUCUGGUCACUGGUUUCUACUGUUCCACCUGUGCACUGCCUGUAGAAACGCUGUGCCUAUGAUAUGUGUUAACACAGAACAGUGUUAGUGGGCAUGUUAUAGAUAAUAAGAAAAGAUACAACUUUCAGCAACGGAUCUCUUGGCUCUC